UGACUACUCACAUAAAUAGUUGAUAUUUAAGGCUUCUGACACUGGAUUUCUAGAAAGGCUGUACAAGAAUGGCACCAACAUCUGCUCAGCUUCUGGUGAGAACUUCAGGAGAGCUUAUAAUCAUUAGCAGAAAGUAAAGCAGGAGCAGGCAUGUCGCAUGUAGAGAUGAGGUUUCAUCAUGUUGGCCAGGAUGGUCUUGAUCUCUUGACCUCAUAAUCCGCCCACCUCAGCCUCCCAAAGUGCUGGGAUUACAGGCAUGAGCCACCACGUCCAGCCAUACCACUGUUCUACUAACUGGGAGACUGAGACUCCACUGAUUAAGUCUCUGCCCAAGGUCAUGCAGCUUAUCAUUCAUGUCCAGUGAAUGAUGUGAGUGACUUCAAAGGCCAUGCUCAUCCUGCCACGCCACUCUGCCUCCAGAAGCAGGAAGAAGGACACAUACCUGGGGAAGCUUUUGGAUGGCCAUGAAUUUGUAACUGAAUGUAUGACAAAUAUCUAGAGUAAUGAAAGAAGACUGAGAAAACAAAAAUAUGUUAAGGAGAUGUAGCAGCUAACACUUAUGUCUUCAAGCCUCAUGCUGUGGGAUAUACACAUCUUCACAAACUAACCACAGCAGAAGAUCAGAACCUAGAACAAAAGGUUAGCAUGUGGCCAUGAAGAUGUGUGCGUGUGUGUGUGUGUGCACACUGCACACUCGCACAUGGACAUCUGCAUAAGCACAUGUGACGGUGGCUUCUUAUACACAUGGGUGUAAGAAGCAUGAAGAGAUCCACGUAUACAUGUUGCAACAGGGCCAGAGGUGGCCUAAGAAUUCCGUCUCAGCAAAGUCCUCCAGGAGGCUCCUGCAUCGACCAGAACUGGCACUCAGGAUGAAACCUAUUUGCCAACCUGGUAGUUGGUACAUGCACAGGAUGGGCUCCUCCUGUACUAAGUUCAGCAAACUAGGCAUAAGCAAAAAGCUCCUGGAGCUCUGGAAACUAUGACUGGGGGUAAAACAGACACCUGGAAGGGUGGGGGGCCCUUUCCUUCCUGCCUCACUGACGUCGGACACCUGGUGCACUGGUGUUGAGAGCAGGACACUUUGCAGCUCAGGAAGCCCAGAAACCCUAAUUGCCCCCACAGAACCACAAUACACACUGAGGCCCCAGCACAGGGUCUCCUUCAUGCCAUGAUUAGCUUCCGCUGAGGCCAGUUUCAGUCCUCUUCACAUCAGGACCUUGAGGCUCUUCUCCAAGUCCCUGUCAUGCAAGACUGCAGGCUGGUGUACCUCCUCCUCCCCCUGCAUCCCCCACCGUCUCAAACACACACACAGCAGGCCCCUCCCUGGUGCCCGUCCCCUCCCAUCCUCACUCAACAAAUGGCCUCCUUUCAUUGACCUGGUUGGGUAGCCUCGUGCCCUUCCUGGAACCUGCUGGAUGUGAAAUUGUUUAGAAACUCCACACCAAGCUACUCCAGGGACUUAUUUUCAGCCAUUCUUCUCACCAGUACAGCUGAACAUGAAGCCUCCAGCAGUUUUCAACCCCUAGGGGGUAUAUUUCAGAGUUCAAGGGCAAUGUGAACAGCCAGCAGCCUGAGGGACAUUUGCCAAGAGCAUCUAUCCAGGGGAUCUUGUAUUACCAGCAGAGAGCCAGAAGCACCGUGCAAGGAGGAGACAGGCCAUGCACUGGCUUCAUUUGUGCUGUGCUGUCACUAAUGUCCCCCUAACGCUCUCUAUUAUCCUUGUAGUCAUCCCCAAACAUUCACAAAGCCACUGGUCAAUGCAGCCCAUGGACAUAUGCUUUCGUCCAGACAGCCAUGAUGUCCUGUUGGGGAAAUAGGUUACCACAUAAAGCACCAAACACCAUCCAGCAGUACCUGUGCCCUGAGCCCAAUCAGCGGCACAGACACUCCUAAGAUGACAAGUUCUGGGAAAUAUAUUGAAAAAUAACAAUAGAUGGAUGUCUUUUUCAUCUUUGUAGCCCAACGCCUGGCACAUGGU
Long non-coding RNA from Piliocolobus tephrosceles (Ugandan red Colobus), 1978 nucleotides. RefSeq lists it as uncharacterized. The record is from RefSeq and is a predicted model, not a curated record. The transcript is spliced from 4 exons. NCBI's taxonomy places the organism in Eukaryota, Metazoa, Chordata, Mammalia, Primates, Cercopithecidae.